Long non-coding RNA from Mustela erminea (ermine), 2449 nucleotides. RefSeq lists it as uncharacterized. The transcript is spliced from 2 exons. Lineage: Eukaryota; Metazoa; Chordata; Mammalia; Carnivora; Mustelidae. The record is from RefSeq and is a predicted model, not a curated record.
UUCCCUGCACUCCUCCGUUAGAGAGCACUCAUUAGGUAAAGAGGCCGUCUAUUCAAGAACUAGAUAAAAUAAAAAUCUGGUCUCUAGGGGGAGACGGUACAGGCAGAAUAAAGUCCUAACUAGAGAAAGAGUUAGUUUAUUAAGGGAGAGCUGGACCAUAUGAAAAAGGAGCACCAACAACUAACAAGAGGAAACUAUCUGGACAAUGAAAUGAAGGCUGCUCCUCUGUGCAAACUUGGGACAAGGAACACUAAUUUCAUAGGCCAAAUGUGGGACUGAGAGACUACAACGCCAUGAGAUAACAUGCUGCAAUACUUAUCAGCAAUUAGGUUUUUUUUUUUUUUUAAAUACUGUAAACCAAAUGAGAUGUGAGAAAAGGUCAACAGAAAAAAAUCUCUCAUUAUCUUAAUGCCCUAAGAAGAGCCAUAUGCAUUUAGGGUGAAUAGGAGACCAUGCAUGAGAGGCCUUCUGCCAUCCCACCUACAGCACUUCUAGUCUUUUGUGGAGAGUGAGCUGUGGUUUUGGGACAAGGAAAAUUAACUUCAGGGAGAUAAAGUACACUUGAGUUAAAAGUGAAGCACAAGUUGUUAGUGCAGAUUAGUCACUCAUGUGAUCUGUGAAUUUAAAUUCUCCAAGGCUUUUUUUAAUCUGGUAAGUGAGGGGACUGGUGAGUUACAGUUGAUCUUAAGGGCUCCUUCUAAAUCUAAGUUUAUAAUUCUCUACUUGUGAGAGGGCUGGUGGGAGACAGAAGCAGGAGCAGGGAACGGAAGGAAGGGUAAAGGAACUUGGUAAUCAGGGUGGGUAUGGGAUAACUAGUGAAUCCUGUCAAAUUUCGGAUGAUGUUACAGGCUGGUUUGUUCAAGAUUUACCCAGUGUCAUAGGAAGAGGGAUACUUCUCAUUCAGAGAAAUGCAGACAAAAGCCAGUCAACUUUAUUAGACUUUUUCCAAUUUGCCUUCCCAUUCUAGGUCAAGAAGUAACUUCUUUAUAUGUAUGCUCUAUAAAAGAUUCUCACAGUAACCACUCACCAGAGGCAACAAUCCUGGGAUGCACCCCCUUGUUACCUGCUGCUGUUGGCAAGAAUAAAGCUACAAAAAAGUAACAGAAUGAAAAAGAAGAGCAAGAACUGUGGCUCUAGAUAAAGAAUUCAACAAGUAAGACUCUGAAACAGGCACUCAGAUGAAAUGGCCUAACCCUAACCCCAGGUUACCAUUACCCCCACCCCCACCCUGUUAUGCCCCAAAUAGUAAAAAGGAAACGAUCACAAGCUCACAAUUGUUUGGUUCUCACCAAUGUUAACAAAGAAAAACAAAAUGAACCAAGAAGUACUUGAGGGGGUACCUCAAGAUACUCAAUCAGUAGGGGGAGAAUCUCUGUUUCUCGCCUUUCAGUUUGUUAGUUACACAUGGCACGGCAGAGGUGGUGGUGGUGGUAGCAGAAGCCCCGGUCCCCUUAGCAGCAGACACAACAUUUAGAGCCAGGAGAGGGAUGGGUUUCAUGCCAAGCAGACUGGAGACACAAGGGGCGGUCGGAAGAGGGUUGGGGAGGCUGGAGGGUGCGUCGGAGGUCCCCGCUGUGGCGAGCGAGGGGGUGGUGGUGGAGGAGGAAGAAGAAGAAGAAGGGGUGGAGGGUUGAGAGAGGUUGAUGCUGAGGUGAUCAGGGAUCGUGACGGAGGCUGCCUGGGAGGAGGGUUUAGCGUUUUCUAAACUGUAACAGAGGAAAAAAGGAACAAAAAAAAAAGGGUGGGUGGAAGGGAAGACCACAAAAGGGAUAAAGUACAGGACAAAAACCGCUUGUUAUCAGUUAAGUGCCUCUGGCUGCAAAUUAGGAAGACCUAAUACCAACUUGUGAUAAAAUGCCCCUCUUUCAGUCUGUGUCCCACCCUCUAAAAAAACGUACACUUUACCAAAUCCCAUUCCACAAGGCUAUAUAAAACUGUUAUGGUGAAGAAAAAGCAGACAGACUGAGAAAAGAAAUCACACAAAACACACUUCCAUGUAUCUGACACGUGGAUGCAACCCAGAAGUCAGAAAGAAAUGAUUUCAAAGUAGAAAAUGAAAGAAUAUUCAGAGCAAUCUCCGAACAAGGAACAAAAGUGUUACACUCACCAAUCCCUUGAGAAGGUGUAGAAUAUUAUUCUAUAGAAUUAGAAACUUUCCCCCCUAAUGCUGAAGUGUGCUUCCAUCUUCUACAACAAAUGAACCAAUGUACCAGGAUGGGAAAGGACAAGAAACCGAAGUAGGUCACUAAUUUCAACUUGAAAGAAUGUAGCCUUUUUAAAGAAAAAUGCUGAGAACAAAAGUGUAGAUAACAACUAGGAGAGCUUCCUUUCUGGUAAGAGGUGGGGGUGAGGAAAAAAAGCCCUUUCUUUUUCACGAAACAUACUUCUCAAAUAGACCUCACAGAACUGAAAAAUACUCAAGCACUCCCGAAAAACUCAUUUAAAAAAG